AACGAACGCUGGCGGCAUGCCUAACACAUGCAAGUCGAACGAGACCUUCGGGUCUAGUGGCGCACGGGUGCGUAACGCGUGGGAACCUGCCCUUAGGUUCGGAAUAACUCCCCGAAAGGGGUGCUAAUACCGGAUAAUGUCUUCGGACCAAAGAUUUAUCGGCUUUGGAUGGGCCCGCGUUGGAUUAGCUUGUUGGUAGGGUAAAAGCGUACCAAGGCGACGAUCCAUAGCUGGUUUGAGAGGAUGAUCAGCGACACUGGGAGUGAGACACGGCCCAGACUCGUACGGGAGGGGGGAGUGGGGGAUAGUGGAGGAGGGGGGGAGGGCUGAUGGAGCGAUGAGGGGUGAGUGGUGAAGGCAUGGGGGUGGGAAAGCGCUUUUACCCGGGAUGGUAGUGACGGUACCGGGAGAGUAAGCGCCGGCUAACUACGUG
Molecule: ribosomal RNA, 433 nt
Filed under: uncultured bacterium
Lineage: Bacteria
Description: partial 16S ribosomal RNA
Rfam family: Bacterial small subunit ribosomal RNA
Source: RNAcentral